This 830-nucleotide ribosomal RNA is filed under the name uncultured crenarchaeote. RNAcentral describes it as "bacterial SSU rRNA". It matches the Rfam family "Archaeal small subunit ribosomal RNA", at positions 21 to 858 of the family's 1478-position model. The record is from RNAcentral. Lineage: Archaea; Thermoproteati; Thermoproteota.
ACCUGACUGCUAUCGGAUUGAUACUAAGCCAUGCGAGUCAUUGUAGCAAUACAAGGCAGACGGCUCAGUAACGCGUAGUCAACCUACCCUAUGGACGGGAAUAACCUCGGGAAACUGAGUAUAAUGCCCGAUAGAACAUUAUACCUGGAAUGGUUUAUGUUCCAAAUGAUUUAUCGCCGUAGGAUGGGACUGCGGCCUAUCAGUUUGUUGGUGAGGUAAUGGCCCACCAAGACUAUUACGGGUACGGGCUCUGAGAGGAGUGGCCCGGAGAUGGUACUGAGACACGGACCCAGGCCCUAUGGGGCGCAGCAGGCGAGAAAACUUUGCAAUGUGCGAAAGCACGACAAGGUUAAUCCGAGUGGUUUCUGCUAAAGGAACCUUUUGUUAGUCCUAGAAACACUAACGAAUAAGGGGUGGGCAAGUUCUGGUGUCAGCCGCCGCGGUAAAACCAGCACCUCAAGUGGUCAGGAUGAUUAUUGGGCCUAAAGCAUCCGUAGCCGGCUCUGUAAGUUUUCGGUUAAAUCUGUACGCUUAACGUACAGGCCGCCGGGAAUACUGCAGAGCUAGGGAGUGGGAGAGGUAGACGGUACUCGGGAGGAAGUGGUAAAAUGCUUUGAUCUCUCGAUGACCACCUGUGGCGAAGGCGGUCUACCAGAACACGUCCGACGGUGAGGGAUGAAAGCUGGGGGAGCAAACCGGAUUAGAUACCCGGGUAGUCCCAGCUGUAAACUAUGCAAACUCAGUGAAGCAUUGGCUUGUGGCCAAUGCAGUGUUGCAGGGAAGCCGUUAAGUUUGCCGCCUGGGAAGUACGUACGCAAGUAUGAAACUUA